UGGUUUUCUCCUUGGUGUGUGAGUUUGUUUGGUGCUCUCCCUUUCUCCUUCGCCAUUUGAAUAGUGAUGUCAUUAUUCCAACGUCCUCUCACCUCUACUGAAAAAGGCCUACCAGUGACUCUCUCCUGGGUACUCAGCAACACUCUGGAGGGAAGUUGUGGUUUCAGCAAGGUGCAAGCAUCAUGAAACCGAGAGAGAACUGGCAGGGUGGAGAACUCACCCAAAGGAAGUCUUCCCUGACUGCUCUCCCUCAGCGGGCUGUAACUGUGUUCACUGGCCUCUAGUCCAGGAGCGCCUCAAGGCCAGGGCUGGGAUAUCACUCUUCUCUGGAUCCUCAGCCUGUAGCUGCCUGACUCAUGGUAGGUGAUGGGUUCUUUCUUUUUUUUGGCAUAUGUAUGUUGGGUGGUGUGAUGAAUGAAGAGGUGAGUGAAUGAACCUGGCCUAUGUAGGAGCCGUGACCAGGUGCAAUCCUACCAGCUGCCCAACUGUGCUCUCCUGAGUCCUAGCAAUAACCCUGGGGGCACUCAGCAGGGCCUGCUCAACCCCCGACCUGGACCAGCGAGACCCAUGCACGUCUCCCUCCCGUGGGGACAUCUACCUGCAUUUCCCAGUCUCAGGCUCAGUGUGUUUCAUUUCUCCAGCCAUGGGGCCCAGCAGGUGUCAGCAGCAAAGCAGAACUGGGUGGGACAGUCCUUCCUGAAGAUAAGGCAAAGUGCCCCAGCCCAGAGAUCAAUCCUGUAAAUCCACUUUCAAAGGGCUGAAUAAGGUGGGACAUCCCUGGUUCCUUCUUCAGCCAUAAAUCUCUAGGCUCAGAUGGUAACUGCCCUCCUCUUGACAAAGCUGUAAAGAGCACGGCAUAGCAGCAGUCGGGAAAGAGCAUGGACAAGAAAGGUCCUUCGGGUGGGGCAAGGCCCACCUGUCUUGCCCCCUAAGCUUUGCCUCCCUCCCUGCAUGGGCUUUGCUGUCUCUGUGGGGACCUGUUGGAGGUUGCAGGGCUUGACUGCCAGUGCCGGAGGCUUCUGUGAGCAUCUGUCCUGUAAAUACCCAGGCUCCAUUCUGCUGCUCAGCCCAUGCCGAUGCCACCUGACUUCCUGUGAAUGAAUGGAGCACUGUAAAAGGAGUCCAGCUCGGCUGCCCCCCAUGUGACUGUCUAAGAGUCACCUCCCCUCUCGAGGAGGCAGUGGGGUGGGUGGACUAGAUGAUCCCAGAGGCUGCUUUCAG
This 1221-nucleotide long non-coding RNA is filed under the name Homo sapiens (human). RNAcentral's name for it is "HSALNT0240131". The record is from RNAcentral. Lineage: Eukaryota; Metazoa; Chordata; Mammalia; Primates; Hominidae.